Molecule: ribosomal RNA, 461 nt
Filed under: uncultured bacterium
Lineage: Bacteria
Description: partial 16S ribosomal RNA
Rfam family: Bacterial small subunit ribosomal RNA
Source: RNAcentral
CCUACGGGAGGCUGCAGUGAGGGAUAUUGGUCAAUGGGCGGGAGCCUGAACCAGCCAAGUCGCGUGAGGGAAGACGGUCCUAUGGAUUGUAAACCUCUUUAGGCGGGGAGCAAUGCCGGGCACGCGUGUCCGGAGGGAGAGUACCCGCAGAAUAAGCAUCGGCUAACUCCGUGCCAGCAGCCGCGGUAAUACGGAGGAUGCGAGCGGUAAUCGGAAUUACUGGGCGUAAAGCGCUCGUAGGCGGUAUGUCAAGUCAAGGGUGAAAUCCCCGCGCUCAACGUGGGAACUGCCUUUGAAACUGGCAAACUGGAGUGUGUGAGAGGAUAGUGGAAUUCCAGGUGUAGGAGUGAAAUCCGUAGAUAUCUGGAGGAACACCAGUGGCGAAGGCGACUAUCUGGCACAUAACUGACGCUGAGGAGCGAAAGCGUGGGUAGCAAACAGGAUUAGAUACCCGUGUAGUC